UACGGAGGGGGUUAGCGUUGUUCGGAAUUACUGGGCGUAAAGCGCGCGUAGGCGGACCAGAAAGUUGGGGGUGAAAUCCCGGGGCUCAACCCCGGAACGGCCUCCAAAACUCCUGGUCUUGAGUUCGAGAGAGGUGAGUGGAAUUCCGAGUGUAGAGGUGAAAUUCGUAGAUAUUCGGAGGAACACCAGCGGCGAAGGCGGCUCACUGGCUCGAUACUGACGCUGAGGUGCGAAAGUGUGGGGAGCAAACAGG
RNAcentral lists this ribosomal RNA (253 nucleotides) under uncultured bacterium. Its description in RNAcentral is "partial 16S ribosomal RNA". It matches the Rfam family "Bacterial small subunit ribosomal RNA", at positions 524 to 776 of the family's 1533-position model. The record is from RNAcentral.